UUCCUACGGGGGGCAGCAGUAGGGAAUUUUCGGCAAUGGGCGAAAGCCUGACCGAGCAACGCCGCGUGAACGAAGAAGGUCUUCGCAUUGUAAAGUUCUGUUAUAGAGGAAGAAUGGUGUACGUAGGAAAUGGCGUACAAAUGACGGUACUCUGUGAGGAAGCCACGGCUAACUACGUGCCAGCAGCCGCGGUAAUACGUAGGUGGCGAGCGUUAUCCGGAAUGAUUGGGCGUAAAGGGUGCGUAGGCGGCCUGCUAAGUCUGGAGUGAAAGGUACCGGCUCAACCGGUACAGGCUCUGGAAACU
This 305-nucleotide ribosomal RNA is filed under the name uncultured bacterium. RNAcentral describes it as "bacterial SSU rRNA". It matches the Rfam family "Bacterial small subunit ribosomal RNA", at positions 336 to 634 of the family's 1533-position model. The record is from RNAcentral.